AGUGAACGCUGGCGGUAGGCCUAACACAUGCAAGUCGAACGGCAGCACAGUAAGAGCUUGCUCUUACGGGUGGCGAGUGGCGGACGGGUGAGGAAUACAUCGGAAUCUACUUUUUCGUGGGGGAUAACGUAGGGACACUUACGCUAAUACCGCAUACGACCUACGGGUGAAAGCAGGGGAUCUUCGGACCUUGCGCGAUUGAAUGAGCCGAUGUCGGAUUAGCUAGUUGGCGGGGUAAAGGCCCACCAAGGCGACGAUCCGUAGCUGGUCUGAGAGGAUGAUCAGCCACACUGGAACCGAGACACGGUCCAGACUCCUACGGGAGGCAGCAGUGGGGAAUAUUGGACAAUGGGCGCAAGCCUGAUCCAGCCAUACCGCGUGGGUGAAGAAGGCCUUCGGGUUGUAAAGCCCUUUUGUUGGGAAAGAAAAGCAGCAGGUUAAUACCCCGCUGUUCUGACGGUACCCAAAGAAUAAGCACCGGCUAACUUCGUG
Molecule: ribosomal RNA, 492 nt
Filed under: uncultured bacterium
Lineage: Bacteria
Description: partial 16S ribosomal RNA
Rfam family: Bacterial small subunit ribosomal RNA
Source: RNAcentral